GACCACUAUUUUUUUUUGAUAACUUAGGUGAUAUGAUUCGAACACCCAACUAAUUUUAGAAGUCGGUGAAAACCUUAUUUCCAUGUGUGUGACAAAUACGAAAAGUAGGUUUCGAACUCGAAACGCUCAACACUUUUCCGGAAUCAACAUACCACUCGACCACGACCGUGUGGGAUUUGACGACAGGUUGUUUUCAACUUCUUUUCUAUUUCAAGUAGCUUCCUUUUAUGGUCACCUUGUUCCCAACUUUGCAGGCUUUACAGCUUCGUUGAUCGACCCAGAAAAGUUAUAUUCCCUUUCGCAGUUUUUUGUUACAACAAAAACAAUAAGUCAAUCGUGAGAAACAUUUUUUUGUCAUCUUUGAAUUUCAUUUAACUUAAACGGAAGUACCAUCAUUACAAGCCAAAAGUCGACAAGUCGCAACUCUUUCGAAGACCAAAGCCGGAGAGUUCACAGAUCGAACAUCCUAGAGACCCAAAUUUAAAAACAUAAAUAGAACUAUUACUUUAGAGACUACCACAAGCAAAUGAUAAUGACUUGAAAUACUUAAUGAUCAAAGGAACUCAAACCGAAAUCCAUAGCAACACCAGGUCGCCAAUCAUAACCAAGAACCUGAAGACGCAUGAGUUGAACUCAGAAACAAAGACUUGAGAAGACCACAAUCCAUCACAGGUCACAACCACAACCUCACGAGAAAAAACACCGGCGGAAACAAUCAAAAACUGAAGCGCAAACGGAGCCAAUAACAACCACUAACACGUCUGCAAUAAGACCACACGCAACCCAAGAGAGGAAAGACACAAGGUUGAACCUUGAAACUCCAAGCGGGGAAAACGUCUAAAAGGAUCAGCAGCUCUUGCACGCGAGUGGUCACAUCCUCGCAAGAGAGAAGAGCGGAAGAUCGAACCCAUUGCUUCGUCUUGAUACCUCACACCAUACAGAGGAAGCAAGUAGAUGCCAACGUACCAUCCAAUAGACGAACCCAACAAAAGAGACCGUGAAAAACACAGAUUACCAACAACUCACGAGAACGAAGAGAAGCUGGAGCACACCUGAUCAAAAGCUACGACCAAAGAAAGAAGAUCGGCUUAAAGACACCAAGUCCGGAACAUAUAGCCUCCCCAUAUCCUAACCCGUUGAGAAGGCACUUCCACACCACUAAACUUCAAAGGAAGACAAGCCACAACCCCAGCCACACAAGACGAUUAACUAUCAUUAACCCAAAGCUAAGAGCGCCACAAAGGAGAACAUCCAGAGCUGAGAGAUUCAUGACCACGACUGAAGAACAGGACCAAAAGUAUAGAAAGACAGAUCUGAAAAAACCCCAAUCUAAAGAGAGAGGAAAACUACGAAGCAUAUUGACCGUAAGAUCUGAAAACCCAUAACCUCUGGCUUAAAAAUCACUCUCCACACUCCUCUGUUCACCUUCACGGCGGAUUCCUAGCCCUUCCUAGAUCGAACGGAAACUACAUAUAAGACAAGAGCAAACAAACAGAUCUAAAGAAAUUAAAAUGCAAGAGACCCGACUCCAGUGCUGUAGGAGCCACCGGAGUGGAUCAGCGGCGGCCACAAACGGAGGACUAGGUGUUAGGGCGAACUCGAGGCGAGCUAAUUAAUCUUUUCUCGUCUCCGUCUGUUUUGCCAACCGCUCUAGUUCCUUGAUCGUGAGAUACAUUAAACAUAGACAUAAUGUUUAAUCAUUUCCACAAUCCUUUUGUCCUUUUUAACAACGGAUUGUACAUUCGGAAAUAUAUUUGACCAUAUCAUAUUAUAGUCUUAAGGCAGUACAAAUAAUUUACAAACAGUAUACCUAAAUAAAUUAAAUCUACAUUUGUACAAA
Molecule: long non-coding RNA, 1840 nt
Filed under: Brassica napus (rape)
Lineage: Eukaryota; Viridiplantae; Streptophyta; Magnoliopsida; Brassicales; Brassicaceae
Description: long non-coding RNA (BNAP_LNC013091)
Source: RNAcentral